This 447-nucleotide ribosomal RNA is filed under the name uncultured bacterium. Its description in RNAcentral is "partial 16S ribosomal RNA". It matches the Rfam family "Bacterial small subunit ribosomal RNA", at positions 329 to 793 of the family's 1533-position model. The record is from RNAcentral.
GUCCAGACUCCUACGGGAGGCAGCAGUAGGGAAUAUUGCACAAUGGGGGAAACCCUGAUGCAGCGACGCCGCGUGAGUGAGGAAGUAUUUCGGUAUGUAAAGCUCUGUCAGCAGGGAAGAAAAUGACGGUACCUGACUAAGAAGCCCCGGCUAACUACGUGCCAGCAGCCGCGGUAAUACGUAGGGGGCAAGCGUUAUCCGGAUUUACUGGGUGUAAAGGGAGCGCAGGCGGCACGGCAAGUCUGGUGUGAAAGCCCGGGGCCCAACCCCGGGACUGCAUUGGAAACUGCCGGGCUGGAGUGCCGGAGGGGUAAGCGGAAUUCCUGGUGUAGCGGUGAAAUGCGCAGAUAUCAGGAGGAACACCGGUGGCGAAGGCGGCCUGCUGGACUGCGACUGACGUUGAGGCCCGAAAGCGUGGGGAGCAAACAGGAUUAGAUACCCCCGUAA